This 549-nucleotide ribosomal RNA is filed under the name fungal sp. GZ-2010a. RNAcentral's name for it is "eukaryotic LSU rRNA". The stretch from base 228 to 381 matches the Rfam family "5.8S ribosomal RNA". Lineage: Eukaryota; Fungi. The record is from RNAcentral.
UGGAAGUAAAAGUCGUAACAAGGUCUCCGUUGGUGAACCAGCGGAGGGAUCAUUACUGAGUUUACGCUCUACAACCCUUUGUGAACAUACCUAUAACUGUUGCUUCGGCGGGUAGGGUCUCCGUGACCCUCCCGGCCUCCCGCCCCCGGGCGGGUCGGCGCCCGCCGGAGGAUAACCAAACUCUGAUUUAACGACGUUUCUUCUGAGUGGUACAAGCAAAUAAUCAAAACUUUUAACAACGGAUCUCUUGGUUCUGGCAUCGAUGAAGAACGCAGCGAAAUGCGAUAAGUAAUGUGAAUUGCAGAAUUCAGUGAAUCAUCGAAUCUUUGAACGCACAUUGCGCCCGCCAGCAUUCUGGCGGGCAUGCCUGUUCGAGCGUCAUUUCAACCCUCAAGCUCUGCUUGGUGUUGGGGCCCUACAGCUGAUGUAGGCCCUCAAAGGUAGUGGCGGACCCUCCCGGAGCCUCCUUUGCGUAGUAACUUUACGUCUCGCACUGGGAUCCGGAGGGACUCUUGCCGUAAAACCCCCAAUUUUCCAAAGGUGACCUCG